GUAGGUGGCAAGCGUCGUCCGGAAUUAUUGGGCGUAAAGCGCGCGCAGGCGGUCCUUUAAGUCUGGUGUGAAAGCCCACGGCUCAACCGUGGAGGGUCAUUGGAAACUGGGGGACUUGAGUACAGAAGAGGAAAGCGGAAUUCCAAGUGUAGCGGUGAAAUGCGUAGAGGUUUGGAGGAACACCAGUGGCGAAGGCGGCUUUCUGGUCUGUAACUGACGCUGAGGCGCGAAAGCGUGGGGAGCAAACAGGAUUAGAUACCCUGGUAGUCCACGCCGUAAACGAUAAAUACUAAAUAUUAAGAAAUUUCCCGCCCCCUUAGUGCUGCAGCUAACCGCAUUAAGCACUCCGCCUGGGGAGUACGGCCGCAAGGCUG
RNAcentral lists this ribosomal RNA (374 nucleotides) under uncultured organism. RNAcentral describes it as "partial 16S ribosomal RNA". It matches the Rfam family "Bacterial small subunit ribosomal RNA", at positions 527 to 896 of the family's 1533-position model. The record is from RNAcentral.